CUAGAACAUCAUGUUGAAGUGAAGUUCAGACCACAUGAAGAAGCCACACAUAGGUGUUCCAUCCAACAGUCAACAUCAGCUGGUGUACAUGUUGUUUCUCCUAGAUCGUGUUUCCUGAGAAGCAAAUUUUGAGAUGGUUUUGAGUGAUGGAUGUCUACUUAAGAGUGCUCCUGGGAAUAACAUCUAUAAAAUCCUGGUGGAGGCAGAGAGGAGAAGACUUUGGACUGUGAGGGAGUUAAUAUACAAGUUUCCACUGAUCCUGUGAGACUGGAAUGGCCCCUCAAAUUUGUCUCAAUUUGAGGCAACUUGGUCAGGCAUUAGUAUCCUACAAUUGAUAGGUUAUUGGGUGCCCAGAGAGAGAGAGAGAGAUCGAAAGUAAGAAUGAGAGUGAGAGUGAACAUGAGAUAACGAGAGAUGUAGAUAUACCUCAGGAUAUAAAAUUUAUUCAUUUUUUGUGUGAAGUGUAAGAUUUGC
RNAcentral lists this long non-coding RNA (474 nucleotides) under Pan troglodytes (chimpanzee). Its description in RNAcentral is "long non-coding RNA NONPTRT009450". The record is from RNAcentral. Lineage: Eukaryota; Metazoa; Chordata; Mammalia; Primates; Hominidae.